GGACGCUGAGAGGAAAGUCCAGACCCUGGAGGAGGAGCUGAAGACCAAGAAGACCGAGCUCAAUGAUGAAAGGACCAGAAGGGAGAACGCUGAAAAAGAUGUUGCGAGCCUAAAGAAACAGCUGGAGACUCAGCAGGGCUCGAUCACAGAAUUUGCCUUUGAAGUCGACCCAUUAGGCAGAUUUUUAUCCGUCUGCAAAACACAUCCAAUAAGGACCAACUACUAGAAGACUGGGAAUUAUGUGUAAAGAUCAACAACGCAAAACACAUCGGAUAUAGUUUUGAGCACUCAUUCAAACUCAGGCCUGGAAAAACUGUCACUAUGUGGGUUGGUAAUUGUGGUCCACAUUAUCCUCCCUCUGACCUGCAGUGGUUGGACCUGACGUCUUGGCGCAUUGGAGACAAACUGGAGGUCACUCUUUUCAGCCUCACAGAGAUCCGACAUCAAGAUAUUUUCACGUUCAGUUAAUUAAUGACCUCCUUUUUCUUGCUGUCAAACUUUAUUUUUCUUUAGCUCCUCUUACUUUUUAGCUCCUUUUAUCACCAACAGCAAAGAAACAUGAAGGAACGACAAGAACCAGAGCUUCCUGUGAAACCACACGUUUAAUUUUGCUCAGGAAAUAUGAAAUAACAUCACUUUGUGAGGUGGUACAUUCAACAAGUAUUUUGAAACGUGGUACAUAUUUGCGUUUGUUUUAUUGCUACUUUUUAUACAUUUUACAGAAGAAAAACAACAAAAUGACAAAAGAUAAAAUUCAUUCAAAUGAAAUCAAAGUAUUAGCUGAUGUAACUCUUUUACAUCUUUAUUUGGUUGUUUACAUGAUGAUGUCAUAUUUAUAGUAGAUCUUCACCGAUCUUUGUUAUUCUUUAUUCUGUGUAGUCUGAUUCAAUUCAUGUUGUCAGUUUAGGAUACUCUCCUCAUCGCUCCUGUAAAACUGAAAAAAAGACACCAAGUUGGUUGAUUUCAACCACGUGGAAGUAUUUUCAAAUGUCUGAUACUGAUGUAUGUUGUUGACAACAUUUACUUUAAAAAAUAUCAAC
Molecule: non-coding RNA, 1040 nt
Organism: Plectropomus leopardus (leopard coralgrouper)
Lineage: Eukaryota; Metazoa; Chordata; Actinopteri; Perciformes; Serranidae
Source: RefSeq, a predicted model, not a curated record